Micropterus salmoides (largemouth bass) is the source of this 1217-nucleotide long non-coding RNA. RefSeq lists it as uncharacterized. The record is from RefSeq and is a predicted model, not a curated record. The transcript has 3 exons. Lineage: Eukaryota; Metazoa; Chordata; Actinopteri; Centrarchiformes; Centrarchidae.
UCUUUUAAAGAGUUCAGAUCUAUAGGUACACCGGGCCAUUUCUGGCUCUAGCAACGACUGCAGAUUCGGAUAAGGAGAAGAAACAGAAUUUCUUGACAGGGAAAACAGAGACGUGCUGCUCUUGCUACACUAGCAAGACAUUGUCAAAUUCAUGAACAACCAUCUCAGUACUGUGCACUGAACUGAAAAGUUCCUGUCUUGGCCCUACACAUGGAUGGCCAAAGUGACCUGUGGCCAGACUUCCCCCUCUCAACACCCACUGUAGCUCAUCUCGUCCACAUCCUCUGCUCUCCAUUUGACCAUGGCUGGAGCCAUGACCUAGAGGUUCUGGUGCAAUGUCUUACUGUUUCAUCUUAAGAGCGUUUGACAUCCCACGUGAUAUCAUCCACAGGGUCGCACACAUAAUAAUCAGGCUCAAAAGCAGGGUCAUCUGAUGUCCACCACCUGGCUGUCACAUAAGAAUCAAGCCUCCAAGUGCAGAUCCUCAGUGCUACUUCAACAGGAAAUUGUUCAGAUGCAAGCAGUGUGUGACCACCAGUGUCAGUUUCUGGACUUAUAGUCGGACUUAUUGGCUCAGUCCAUGAUACCUUAGCUCUUAAAAACGGUCCUUUGUAUGUUCAACAACUGUACCUAGCUGAAGGGUUUUCUAGAGGAUGGUGGAUAUCCUUGUAUGUCAUGGCCCAUCACACUCAUCACACCAUACAGGGAGUGAGCAGUGCAGUCACAGCAAGGUCAACAGGCAGCAUGCAAAGGCUCAUUCUGUGUUUGAAAGGCCAUUUGGCGUAAUGAAGACCAGGUGGUGAUCGAUAUUUUUCAAGGCUCUGGAAGUGCACCCUGCUUUUGCAGUAAGGUCAUUGCUUGUUGUGUGUUCCUACACAACUUCUGCCUCAGAGACGGAGACACACUUGAGCCUGUGGAAGAGGCACUGGUGCCAGUUGACGGAGGUGGUCAGCUUCAGCCAGACUUGUGUGUGGGCACAUCGCUGCUACUCUUUCAGCUCCAAACACCUUAAGGGGACGUGUCAAAGUCAAAACUCAUUCACACAAAUAUUUCAUUUCAAGUUUCAUUCCAUGUAGCAAGUUUCAAUUGCUAAUAGUGUUAAAAGUUAUUACAAAAUACGCCCUGUUACUUAUUCCUAACAUUGUUAAACCCACUGGAAAGUUGUUGUGUUGGAAUUUGCUCUGUAGAUAUUAAUUCAGUGCUUAUCAAUUUUUGAA